Molecule: non-coding RNA, 31 nt
Filed under: Mus musculus (house mouse)
Lineage: Eukaryota; Metazoa; Chordata; Mammalia; Rodentia; Muridae
Source: RNAcentral
UGCCAAGUUGUUAGCACUUGUCUGCCAGAGC